Molecule: non-coding RNA, 82 nt
Organism: Seminavis robusta
Lineage: Eukaryota; Bacillariophyta; Bacillariophyceae; Naviculales; Naviculaceae
Source: the annotation of a GenBank genome assembly
GACUGGGUGCGAGAGUGGUUAUUCGGGUGGACUUGAAAUCCACUGCCUUAUUGGCGCGCAGGUUCGAAUCCUGUCCCAGUCG